Molecule: ribosomal RNA, 497 nt
Filed under: uncultured bacterium
Lineage: Bacteria
Description: partial 16S ribosomal RNA
Rfam family: Bacterial small subunit ribosomal RNA
Source: RNAcentral
GACGAACGCUGGCGGCGUGCCUAAUACAUGCAAGUUGAGCGCUGACGGUUGGUACUUGUACUGACUGGAUGAGCAGCGAACGGGUGAGUAACGAGUGGGGAAUCUGCUAUUGAGCGGGGGACAACAUCUGGAAACGAAUGCUAAUACCGCAUAAAAACAUUAAACACAAGUUUUAAGUUUGAAAGAUGCAAUUCCAUCACUCAAAGAUGAUCCCGCGUUGUAUUAGCUAGUUGGUGAGGUAAAGGCUCACCAAGGCGAUGAUACAUAGCCGACCUGAAAGGGUGAUCGGCCACAUUGGGACUGAGACACGGCCCAAACUCCUACGGGAGGCAGCAGUAGGGAAUCUUCGGCAAUGGACGAAAGUCUGACCGAGCAACGCCGCGUGAGUGAAGAAGGUUUUCGGAUCGUAAAACUCUGUUGGUAGAGAAGAACGUUGGUGAGAGUGGAAAGCUCAUCAAGUGACGGUAACUACACAGAAAGGGACGGCUAACUACGUG